Molecule: transfer RNA, 73 nt
Filed under: Deltaproteobacteria bacterium
Lineage: Bacteria; Pseudomonadati; Myxococcota; Myxococcia
Description: tRNA-Thr
Rfam family: tRNA
About the family: Transfer RNA (tRNA) molecules are approximately 80 nucleotides in length.
Source: RNAcentral
GCCACUGUAGCUCAGAUGGUAGAGCAGGCGAUUCGUAAUCGUCAGGUCGGGGGUUCAAGUCCCUCCAGUGGCU